Molecule: ribosomal RNA, 578 nt
Filed under: Xylariaceae sp. 8El1_1
Lineage: Eukaryota; Fungi; Ascomycota; Sordariomycetes; Xylariales; Xylariaceae
Description: eukaryotic LSU rRNA
Rfam family: Eukaryotic large subunit ribosomal RNA
Source: RNAcentral
GCGGAGGAAAAGAAACCAACAGGGAUUGCCCUAGUAACGGCGAGUGAAGCGGCAACAGCUCAAAUUUGAAAUCUGGCCCUCGCGGCCCGAGUUGUAAUUUGCAGAGGAUGCUUUUGGCGCGGCGCCUUCCGAGUUCCCUGGAACGGGACGCCAGAGAGGGUGAGAGCCCCGUACGGUUGGACGCCUAGCCUAUAUAUAGCUCCUUCGACGAGUCGAGUAGUUUGGGAAUGCUGCUCUAAAUGGGAGGUAAAUUUCUUCUAAAGCUAAAUACCGGCCAGAGACCGAUAGCGCACAAGUAGAGUGAUCGAAAGAUGAAAAGCACUUUGAAAAGAGGGUUAAAUAGCACGUGAAAUUGUUGAAAGGGAAGCGUUUGCGACCAGACCUUUUCCGGGCGGAUCAUCCGGUGUUCUCACCGGUGCACUUCGCCCGGUCUAGGCCAGCAUCGGUUUCCUUAGGGGGAUAAAGGCCUGGGGAACGUAGCUCUCUAGGGAGUGUUAUAGCCCCUGGCGCAAUACCCCUCGGGGGACCGAGGACCGCGCUCUGCAAGGAUGCUGGCGUAAUGGUCGUCAACGACCCGU